CAAAGUUGAAUAAUUUAACCGUUUAACAAAAAAGAUUAAAGUGGGCUUAUACUUCACACUAUCCUCCAGUAAAAAAAAAUCAAAUUGAUCAAAUAUUUACAUGUUUACAAAUGAAAUAAUUUAAUAGUAUAAGACAGCAUAGAUUCAUUUUAUAUUAUCUCAUGUAGGUAAGACUUCUUUAAUCAUAACUCAAUACAUAAGCCAUAAAAGACUGACAAAUUCAAAUUUAUAAAAACGGUGUGCUUGACAAUAACAUGUUUUUAAAAUCAUAACCGAAGUAAGUGACCAAUGAAAAUGUUGGAAAUUGUAUCUGCAGCUCAGACAACUGAAAAAGGACUAAUCUGCUUAUAGAUGGAGAGCUAACAGAAGUGGAGAGACAAAGACCUGUCCACGAGAAGUCUCAUGCCCCUUCCUUCACUCUGACACCUCCUUAACAUGCUCCUGAAAUGUCAGCAUCAUGAGACAUGAGCUACACAAUGAUGCAGUAUGGGAAUUAAGAGCUUGAUGGAGAUACCUCUCACUGGACCUCUCUGAAUCUGGUUCGUCAGAUGCGUGACGCAGCCUGCUCUCCUGUUGUGGAGCUUCUUGCUGAG
RNAcentral lists this long non-coding RNA (593 nucleotides) under Homo sapiens (human). Its description in RNAcentral is "HSALNT0103524". Lineage: Eukaryota; Metazoa; Chordata; Mammalia; Primates; Hominidae. The record is from RNAcentral.